This 390-nucleotide ribosomal RNA is filed under the name uncultured bacterium. Its description in RNAcentral is "bacterial SSU rRNA". It matches the Rfam family "Bacterial small subunit ribosomal RNA", at positions 30 to 424 of the family's 1533-position model. The record is from RNAcentral.
AUUGAACGCUGGCGGCAUGCCUUACACAUGCAAGUCGAACGGUAACGGGCCUUCGGGUGCCGACGAGUGGCGAACGGGUGAGUAAUGCAUCGGAACGUACCUUUCAGUGGGGGAUAACGUAGCGAAAGUUACGCUAAUACCGCAUAUUCUGUGAGCAGGAAAGCAGGGGAUCGCAAGACCUUGCGCUGAUUGAGCGGCCGAUGUCAGAUUAGCUAGUUGGUGAGGUAAAGGCUCACCAAGGCGACGAUCUGUAGCGGGUCUGAGAGGAUGAUCCGCCACACUGGAACUGAGACACGGUCCAGACUCCUACGGGAGGCAGCAGUGGGAAUUUUUGGACAAUGGGGGCAACCCUGAUCCAGCCAUGCCGCGUGAGUGAAGAAGGCCUCGGUU